UGUAAAGCAGGACAGAGCUACUGAUUUCACUUCUUGAAAACUUGUCAGCGAGAGAAACAGAAAAAUGACAAACAAAAAAGACAAGACACAGCAGGAUAAUGAAUCUAAACAUAAACAGAUAAAAGGUCAAUGGAACAGCAUCAAUAGUGGAAAACCAAACUUUUCUAAUGGUUCAGAAGGACGUGACCUGAAGAAAGUAAUUCAGAUGUUUCAAACACAGAUGGAACAGGAUCAGACUGCUGCUGCUGUUUCUGGAUGAGAUCAGACAUGAACUUCUUUAUACCAUGGAGAAAAAAUCUCUUUCAGUCCUCAUUGAAACUGUACUCGAAACUGUGAAUUUCCCAAAGCCUCAUUUUACAUUACUGCUGAAUUUUAGUUGGUUUCUGUACAUCUUGUCUUGUAAACUGAAAUUACAGAUUAUUAUGCUUGUUUUUUAGGGGGAAAAAAAACUAUACUUUUAUUAUGUUUUUUUUUUUUUAGAUAUAUUUAGAAAUUUUGGAGGAAAAAGCUUUUUUAUCUAAGCA
Molecule: non-coding RNA, 524 nt
Organism: Danio rerio (zebrafish)
Lineage: Eukaryota; Metazoa; Chordata; Actinopteri; Cypriniformes; Danionidae
Source: RefSeq, a predicted model, not a curated record